UGCCAAUUAUGUAUAGGCAUAAGAUGGA
RNAcentral lists this non-coding RNA (28 nucleotides) under Rattus norvegicus (Norway rat). The record is from RNAcentral. Lineage: Eukaryota; Metazoa; Chordata; Mammalia; Rodentia; Muridae.